Molecule: ribosomal RNA, 203 nt
Filed under: Nectriaceae sp.
Lineage: Eukaryota; Fungi; Ascomycota; Sordariomycetes; Hypocreales; Nectriaceae
Description: partial large subunit ribosomal RNA
Source: RNAcentral
AAGCGUUUAUGACCAGACUUGGACUUGGUUAAUCAUCUGGGGUUCUCCCCAGUGCACUUUUCCAGUUCAGGCCAGCAUCAGUUUUCCCCGGGGGAUAAAGGCUCUGGGAAUGUAGCUCCCUCCGGGGAGUGUUAUAGCCCAGGGUGUCAUGCAGCCAGCCUGGACUGAGGUCCGCGCUUCGGCUAGGAUGCUGGCGUAAUGGU